Heterocephalus glaber (naked mole-rat) is the source of this 657-nucleotide long non-coding RNA. RefSeq lists it as uncharacterized. The record is from RefSeq and is a predicted model, not a curated record. NCBI's taxonomy places the organism in Eukaryota, Metazoa, Chordata, Mammalia, Rodentia, Bathyergidae.
UGGGGAGCGGCGGGCAGUCCAAGACCCACUUUGCGCCUGUGCAGGGCCUCUCCUGUCCCGCCUGGCUUACAGUGGAGCCUCAGGUGGCUGCGCUCGCUGCUGGCCAGCGGAGGCGUUGCGGUAGGGACUCGGCAGUGCCUCUGACCGGCCUUGCGCUCUUGUCCGGAAGCACGGCCACCAGGAUCUCACGACAUCGGGGCUUUAACCCAGCGAGGGAGGGCGGGUAUUAUUAAAGCAGUGAUCAACAAAUCAAACUCAAUCCCCCAGCUCCCAAAGCCGGGGCCACUUCUGUAUUGGUGGUCUGGGGUUCCCCAGCCCCUACAGAGCCUAAGGAAGAGUGGAUGUCGGCAAGUGCUUGUUGAAUGACUACAUAAAUGAGAAAAGACCGAUGUGCUCACAUUGGGCCACCUGGACCACCCAGGACCACUGCCCCAUCUCAAGACCCCUAACUUGGGCACAUCUGCAAAGCCCCUUGGCCAGGAUUUGGCUCAACUUUCGCCUUAUCUGAAGGUCUUGCCAGGCCUACCCAGGCCUCUCUGUCCCCUUUAGGUAUUGUAGCCUUUAUCACCCUUGACUCAGUCUGCCCUCCUUUGUUGGCUUCUUGUCCAUUUUCCCCCAGCAGAAUGUCAGUCCCUGUAUCUGUCCUGCUCACUGCUA